UGUAUGGUCACAGCAGCUGCCAAACUCUUCUGGCUGGAAAAUGAAGCAAACUGAACACCUGAGUGCAUCAGGUGCUUAACCUGCUUUGCCUGGACUUGAUGAGAAACAGUACCACUACCAGCAGUGCUGCUGUGUUUGCAGGGAUGUGGUAACUUCUAGGAGGCACAGGCCAGCAAUGGUGACCUCUUCAGCUAGUUCUUGGUCCAGCUGGAAAAGUGGCAGCAAUGGUACACACAUAAUGGACAUGAUGUGGCUGGCUGGCUAGUGGGCCUAAUGUAACCAUUUCUCCUGAGGAGAAACCAGUAUUGUUUUGUAUUCUGACUACUGACUGACACCCUCCUUGAUCCCCUACACCUACAUCACUAGAAUCUUCUAUUGCACAGAGCUUUGGGUGAUGGUAUACAAGUUUUUUUUUAUUUUUUCCUUAUUUGAAAAAAUAAAACACACAGGAACUUGG
Pezoporus flaviventris is the source of this 457-nucleotide long non-coding RNA. RefSeq lists it as uncharacterized. The record is from RefSeq and is a predicted model, not a curated record. The transcript is spliced from 3 exons. Lineage: Eukaryota; Metazoa; Chordata; Aves; Psittaciformes; Psittacidae.